RNAcentral lists this ribosomal RNA (253 nucleotides) under uncultured bacterium. RNAcentral describes it as "partial 16S ribosomal RNA". It matches the Rfam family "Bacterial small subunit ribosomal RNA", at positions 524 to 776 of the family's 1533-position model. The record is from RNAcentral.
GACAGAGGGUGCAAACGUUGUUCGGAAUUACUGGGCGUAAAGCGCGUGUAGGCGGUCUCGCAAGUCGGAUGUGAAAGCCCAGGGCUCAACCCUGGAAGUGCACUCGAUACUGCGGGGCUAGAGUCCGGAAGGGGCGAGUGGAAUUCCUGGUGUAGCGGUGAAAUGCGCAGAUAUCAGGAGGAACACCAAUGGCGAAGGCAGCUCGCUGGGACGUGACUGACGCUGAGACGCGAAAGCGUGGGGAGCAAACAGG